UCUCCCAUUGUUUGUAGCUUUGCCCUCGGAGGUUGGAGGAGGUCAGUCUGUCCGGAGUGGAGGUGUCGUGUGGUUUUUCGACAAAUAUUAUUGUCAUUGACUAAUUUUAUUGUCGUCGACUAAUCGCUGCAUGUCUAAAACUACAGUAUAGCUCAGGGGUCGGCGACCUAAAAUGUUAAAAAAGCCAUAUUGGACCGUGUUUAAUAUUUUGUUAAAAAUUAGUCUGUGAUUCCUUUCCAGUUGGACUUUCUGCUUGUCGGUUAUAGAACUCACUCCCGCUACCCAGCAGAGCCCCGUCAGUGUGCAUCACAGAUGCAGCCGGUGGGUAUUGACGGACUACGUGUCGCGGCGCAUGCGCAAUCCUGCGUGUCCUCUGCUGCAAGCUCCGCUGGAAGUGCGCCGGGAUACGCGCCUGCUCACGCUUGCAAGGCUGCAGGCAGUCACCAACCCGCGCACCUGGGUCUGAUGAAGAAAGACAUCAUAAAGACCAGCGUACCCGAAGAUCCAGUGCAGGAACGUAGUUAACUCUUCGUAUGUUCCCCUUGUUUCCCAUGAUCGAGCUAUGUGCCUCGACUGCCUCCCUCGAUCCUCGACCCCUGCUUGGACACGGACCUCGUCGCUUCUCUCCAGCCCCGGACCUCUUGCUUGCCCACGGUCUGCCUUCUCGCCUUGCUCCUUUGGUCUGACGAAGGAUUCAUCCAUCACACUCUUACAACAAACUCUGGUAACAUUUACAUUGUUAGUUCUACACAUCAUCUUGCACCAUUCACUUUUAGUAGCAUACACAUCCUACCACUUCAUCAGCUUCAGGUUCAAUAAACCUAUUGAAAUGAUUCCUACACACUACGGACCACAAGAGUCGUUCCGUAGCGGCACAGAUCUACAGCCUUUAUGCAUUCAGCGGGAAUCCUGCUGUACUUGGGACCAUAUGAGGACUGCUGGUACAAUAACAUGGGGAAAGCAUAGCGUUUUUGGCGUGACCCCGGAUGCAGAGACGAGAGGCGGCGUGCAGACACAGUUUCGAAACAAUUAAGCAACAUCACCCCCUUCUCACGUCUACCACCUGCUACGCACCUUUCAAUGAUCCAUGUCCCGUUCUCAUUUUGUUCCAAAUGCAAAUGGACCAGAAGGGACAGGAAUAGCAGGGUUGCGGGGGGUGCUGGAGCCUAUCUCAGCUGCACUCAGGUAGAAGGCGGCGUACACCCUGGACAAGUCUCCAUCUCAUCGUAGAGGUUUUGUAUUAGUGUUCCUAGGAAUAGACACAAUUUUUUCUCAAAAUUUGGCCCCCUGAGCAAAAAUAACUGCCCAGGCCUGAUAUAGGGCAUUGUAGAACUAUGAAUAUGUCCUUUUAUUUGAAUGGGAAUGUUGAGGUUUCUCCUCUCCGAAUUCCUCGGACCACCAAGAACUGACAUGAGAGCCUGGAUCAGGUUCACAAUAUAGUUUGAUUUUGUAAUAAACUGUCUUGCUUUUCAGCAA
Molecule: long non-coding RNA, 1476 nt
Organism: Nerophis ophidion (straightnose pipefish)
Lineage: Eukaryota; Metazoa; Chordata; Actinopteri; Syngnathiformes; Syngnathidae
Exons: 7
Source: RefSeq, a predicted model, not a curated record